AAGUAAAAGUCGUAACAAGGUCUCCGUUGGUGAACCAGCGGAGGGAUCAUUACCGAGUUUACAACUCCCAAACCCCUGUGAACAUACCACUUGUUGCCUCGGCGGAUCAGCCCGCUCCCGGUAAAACGGGACGGCCCGCCAGAGGACCCCUAAACUCUGUUUCUAUAUGUAACUUCUGAGUAAAACCAUAAAUAAAUCAAAACUUUCAACAACGGAUCUCUUGGUUCUGGCAUCGAUGAAGAACGCAGCAAAAUGCGAUAAGUAAUGUGAAUUGCAGAAUUCAGUGAAUCAUCGAAUCUUUGAACGCACAUUGCGCCCGCCAGUAUUCUGGCGGGCAUGCCUGUUCGAGCGUCAUUUCAACCCUCAAGCACAGCUUGGUGUUGGGACUCGCGUUAAUUCGCGUUCCUCAAAUUGAUUGGCGGUCACGUCGAGCUUCCAUAGCGUAGUAGUAAAACCCUCGUUACUGGUAAUCGUCGCGGCCACGCCGUUAAACCCCAACUUCUGAAUGUUGACCUCGGAUCAGGUAGGAAUACCCGCUGAACUUAAGCAUA
This 551-nucleotide ribosomal RNA is filed under the name Fusarium oxysporum. Its description in RNAcentral is "eukaryotic LSU rRNA". The stretch from base 201 to 354 matches the Rfam family "5.8S ribosomal RNA". Lineage: Eukaryota; Fungi; Ascomycota; Sordariomycetes; Hypocreales; Nectriaceae. The record is from RNAcentral.